RNAcentral lists this ribosomal RNA (500 nucleotides) under uncultured bacterium. Its description in RNAcentral is "partial 16S ribosomal RNA". It matches the Rfam family "Bacterial small subunit ribosomal RNA", at positions 30 to 523 of the family's 1533-position model. The record is from RNAcentral.
AUUGAACGCUGGCGGCAUGCUUUACACAUGCAAGUCGAACGGCAGCGCGGGGGCAACCCUGGCGGCGAGUGGCGAACGGGUGAGUAAUGUAUCGGAACGUACCCAGUCGUGGGGGAUAACGUAGCGAAAGCUACGCUAAUACCGCAUACGAUCUAUGGAUGAAAGCGGGGGACCGUAAGGCCUCGUGCGAUUGGAGUGGCCGAUAUCAGAUUAGGUAGUUGGUGGGGUAAAGGCCCACCAAGCCGACGAUCUGUAGCUGGUCUGAGAGGACGACCAGCCACACUGGGACUGAGACACGGCCCAGACUCCUACGGGGGGCAGCAGUGGGGAAUUUUGGACAAUGGGCGCAAGCCUGAUCCAGCAAUGCCGCGUGCAGGAUGCAGGCCUUCGGGUUGUAAACUGCUUUUGUACGGAGCGAAAAGGCUCUCUCUAAUACAGGGGGCUCAUGACGGUACCGUAAGAAUAAGCACCGGCUAACUACGUGCCAGCAGCCGCAGUAA